RNAcentral lists this ribosomal RNA (723 nucleotides) under Salmonella enterica subsp. enterica serovar Kentucky. Its description in RNAcentral is "partial 23S ribosomal RNA". It matches the Rfam family "Bacterial large subunit ribosomal RNA", at positions 2220 to 2925 of the family's 2925-position model. Lineage: Bacteria; Pseudomonadati; Pseudomonadota; Gammaproteobacteria; Enterobacterales; Enterobacteriaceae. The record is from RNAcentral.
UUCUAACGUGGACCCGUGAUCCGGGUUGCGGACAGUGUCUGGUGGGUAGUUUGACUGGGGCGGUCUCCUCCUAAAGAGUAACGGAGGAGCACGAAGGUUGGCUAAUCCUGGUCGGACAUCAGGAGGUUAGUGCAAUGGCAUAAGCCAGCUUGACUGCGAGCGUGACGGCGCGAGCAGGUGCGAAAGCAGGUCAUAGUGAUCCGGUGGUUCUGAAUGGAAGGGCCAUCGCUCAACGGAUAAAAGGUACUCCGGGGAUAACAGGCUGAUACCGCCCAAGAGUUCAUAUCGACGGCGGUGUUUGGCACCUCGAUGUCGGCUCAUCACAUCCUGGGGCUGAAGUAGGUCCCAAGGGUAUGGCUGUUCGCCAUUUAAAGUGGUACGCGAGCUGGGUUUAGAACGUCGUGAGACAGUUCGGUCCCUAUCUGCCGUGGGCGCUGGAGAACUGAGGGGGGCUGCUCCUAGUACGAGAGGACCGGAGUGGACGCAUCACUGGUGUUCGGGUUGUCAUGCCAAUGGCACUGCCCGGUAGCUAAAUGCGGAAGAGAUAAGUGCUGAAAGCAUCUAAGCACGAAACUUGCCCCGAGAUGAGUUCUCCCUGAGACUUAGAGUCUCCUGAAGGAACGUUGAAGACGACGACGUUGAUAGGCCGGGUGUGUAAGCGCAGCGAUGCGUUGAGCUAACCGGUACUAAUGAACCGUGAGGCUUAACCUUACAACGCCGAAG